RNAcentral lists this ribosomal RNA (319 nucleotides) under Citrobacter amalonaticus. Its description in RNAcentral is "bacterial SSU rRNA". It matches the Rfam family "Bacterial small subunit ribosomal RNA", at positions 108 to 430 of the family's 1533-position model. The record is from RNAcentral. Lineage: Bacteria; Pseudomonadati; Pseudomonadota; Gammaproteobacteria; Enterobacterales; Enterobacteriaceae.
GAGUAAUGUCUGGGAAACUGCCCGAUGGAGGGGGAUAACUACUGGAAACGGUAGCUAAUACCGCAUAAUGUCGCAAGACCAAAGAGGGGGACCUUCGGGCCUCUUGCCAUCGGAUGUGCCCAGAUGGGAUUAGCUUGUUGGUGAGGUAACGGCUCACCAAGGCGACGAUCCCUAGCUGGUCUGAGAGGAUGACCAGCCACACUGGAACUGAGACACGGUCCAGACUCCUACGGGAGGCAGCAGUGGGGAAUAUUGCACAAUGGGCGCAAGCCUGAUGCAGCCAUGCCGCGUGUAUGAAGAAGGCCUUCGGGUUGUAAAG